GACGAACCGUACGAACGUUAUUCGGAAUUACUGGGCUUAAAGGGUGCGUAGGCUGCGCGGAAAGUUGGGUGUGAAAUCCCUCGGCUCAACCGAGGAACUGCGCCCAAAACUACCGUGCUCGAGGGAGACAGAGGUGAGCGGAACUUAGGGUGGAGCGGUGAAAUGCGUUGAUAUCCUAAGGAACACCCGUGGCGAAAGCGGCUCACUGGGUCUCUUCUGACGCUGAGGCACGAAAGCUAGGGUAGCAAACGGG
RNAcentral lists this ribosomal RNA (253 nucleotides) under uncultured bacterium. RNAcentral describes it as "partial 16S ribosomal RNA". It matches the Rfam family "Bacterial small subunit ribosomal RNA", at positions 524 to 776 of the family's 1533-position model. The record is from RNAcentral.